CCAUCAGGUUAAGCUGGGGACGUCUAAAGGAACUGCCUACGCAAGUAGUGAGGAAGGCGGGGAUGACGUCAAAUCAGCACGGCCCUUACGUCCAGGGCUACACACGUGCUACAAUGGCCGAUACAGAGGCAGCUACCUGGUGACAGGAUGCAAAUCUCCAAAGUCGGUCUCAGUUCGGAUCGGAGUCUGCAACCCGACUCCGUGAAGUUGGAUUCGCUAGUAAUCGCGCAUCAGCCAUGGCGCGGUGAAUACGUUCCCGGGCCUU
This 265-nucleotide ribosomal RNA is filed under the name uncultured Sphingobacteriales bacterium. RNAcentral's name for it is "partial 16S ribosomal RNA". It matches the Rfam family "Bacterial small subunit ribosomal RNA", at positions 1118 to 1382 of the family's 1533-position model. Lineage: Bacteria; Pseudomonadati; Bacteroidota; Sphingobacteriia; Sphingobacteriales. The record is from RNAcentral.